AGUGAACGCUGGCGGUAGGCCUAACACAUGCAAGUCGAACGGCAGCACAGUAAGAGCUUGCUCUUACGGGUGGCGAGUGGCGGACGGGUGAGGAAUACAUCGGAAUCUACUUUUUCGUGGGGGAUAACGUAGGGAAACUUACGCUAAUACCGCAUACGACCUACGGGUGAAAGCAGGGGAUCUUCGGACCCUGCGCGAUUGAAUGAGCCGAUGUCGGAUUAGCUAGUUGGCGGGGUAAAGGCCCACCAAGGCGACGAUCCGUAGCUGGUCUGAGAGGAUGAUCAGCCACACUGGAACUGAGACACGAUCCAGACUCCUACGGGAGGCAGCAGUGGGGAAUAUUGGACAAUGGGCGCAAGCCUGAUCCAGCCAUACCGCGUGGGUGAAGAAGGCCUUCGGGUUGUAAAGCCCUUUUGUUGGGAAAGAAAAGCAGCAGGUUAAUACCCCGCUGUUCUGACGGUACCCAAAGAAUAAGCACCGGCUAACUUCGUG
RNAcentral lists this ribosomal RNA (492 nucleotides) under uncultured bacterium. RNAcentral describes it as "partial 16S ribosomal RNA". It matches the Rfam family "Bacterial small subunit ribosomal RNA", at positions 29 to 507 of the family's 1533-position model. The record is from RNAcentral.